GCGGAAUAGCUCCGGGAAACUGGAAUUAAUACCGCAUACGCCCUACGGGGGAAAGAUUUAUCGGGGAAGGAUUGGCCCGCGUUGGAUUAGCUAGUUGGUGGGGUAAAGGCCUACCAAGGCGACGAUCCAUAGCUGGUCUGAGAGGAUGAUCAGCCACAUUGGGACUGAGACACGGCCCAAACUCCUACGGGAGGCAGCAGUGGGGAAUAUUGGACAAUGGGCGCAAGCCUGAUCCAGCCAUGCCGCGUGAGUGAUGAAGGCCUUAGGGUUGUAAAGCUCUUUCACCGAUGAAGAUAAUGACGGUAGUCGGAGAAGAAGCCCCGGCUAACUUCGUGCCAGCAGCCGCGGUAAUACGAAGGGGGCUAGCGUUGUUCGGAAUUACUGGGCGUAAAGCGCACGUAGGCGGAUAUUUAAGUCAGGGGUGAAAUCCCGCAGCUCAACUGCGGAACUGCCUUUGAUACUGGGUAUCUUGAGUAUGGAAGAGGUAAGUGGAAUUCCGAGUGUAGAGGUGAAAUUCGUAGAUAUUCGGAGGAACACCAGUGGCGAAGGCGGCUUACUGGUCCA
Molecule: ribosomal RNA, 564 nt
Filed under: Rhizobium sp.
Lineage: Bacteria; Pseudomonadati; Pseudomonadota; Alphaproteobacteria; Hyphomicrobiales; Rhizobiaceae
Description: bacterial SSU rRNA
Rfam family: Bacterial small subunit ribosomal RNA
Source: RNAcentral